Molecule: transfer RNA, 70 nt
Filed under: Cordylochernes scorpioides
Lineage: Eukaryota; Metazoa; Arthropoda; Arachnida; Pseudoscorpiones; Chernetidae
Description: tRNA-Gly
Source: RNAcentral
UGCAUCAGCAGGAAUCGAACCCAGGGCGCCCGCGUGGCAGGCGAGCAUUCUACCACUGAACCACCGAUGC